UACGUAGGGGGCGAGCGUUUUCCGGAUUUAUUGGGCGUAAAUCGCUCGUAGGCGGCUUGUCACGUCGGGUGUGAAAGCCCGGGGCUUAACCCCGGGUCUGCAUUCGAUACGGGCAGGCUAGAGUGUGGUAGGGGAGAUCGGAAUUCCUGGUGUAGCGGUGAAAUGCGCAGAUAUCAGGAGGAACACCGGUGGCGAAGGCGGGUCUCUGGGCAGUAACUGACGCUGAGGAGCGAAAGCGUGGGGAGCGAACAGG
RNAcentral lists this ribosomal RNA (253 nucleotides) under uncultured bacterium. RNAcentral's name for it is "partial 16S ribosomal RNA". It matches the Rfam family "Bacterial small subunit ribosomal RNA", at positions 524 to 776 of the family's 1533-position model. The record is from RNAcentral.